CCUUGUACACACCGCCCGUCAACUCAUGGAAGCCGGUAGCGCCCAAAGCCGCCAGAUUUCACUGGCGUCUACGGCAAGAUCGGUGACUGGGAGU
This 94-nucleotide ribosomal RNA is filed under the name uncultured bacterium. RNAcentral's name for it is "partial 16S ribosomal RNA". The record is from RNAcentral.